RNAcentral lists this non-coding RNA (21 nucleotides) under Arabidopsis thaliana (thale cress). The record is from RNAcentral. Lineage: Eukaryota; Viridiplantae; Streptophyta; Magnoliopsida; Brassicales; Brassicaceae.
UCUAGUUUUCAAUGGUUGCAG